CUUGGUCAUUUAGAGGAAAGUAAAAGUCGUAACAAGGUUUCCGUAGGUGAACCUGCGGAAGGAUCAUUAUCGAAAUUAUUGGUGAGGGUUGUAGCUGGCCUUUCGAGGCAUGUGCACGCUCGAGCCCUUAAUCCACUUUACACCUGUGCACUUAAUGUAGGUCGCCCCUAAAAAAGGUGACCUAUGUCUUAUCAUCAACCCAUCGUAUGUCUCAUAGAAUGUAAUCGAUAUCCUCGCCCUAAAAAAGCGUUGAUAAACUUAUACAACUUUCAACAACGGAUCUCUUGGCUCUCGCAUCGAUGAAGAACGCAGCGAAAUGCGAUAAGUAAUGUGAAUUGCAGAUUUUCAGUGAAUCAUCGAAUCUUUGAACGCACCUUGCGCUCCUUGGUAUUCCGAGGAGCAUGCCUGUUUGAGUGUCAUUAAAUUCUCAACUCCAAGGGUUUCACGACCUUUCGGAGAUUGGACUUGGAGGUGCUGGCCGCAUAUUGGUCGGCUCCUCUCAAAUGCAUCAGCGGAAUUCAACCUUUGGCUUCCGGAUGUCAGUGUGAUAAUCAUGUUGCGCUGUCGUUUGAUCCCUCAGAGUCCGCUUAUAAUGGUCUUCGGACAAAAUCAUCAUCAAAUUUGACCUCAAAUCAGGUAGGACUACCCGCUGAACUUAAGCAUAUCAAUAAGCGGAGGA
This 679-nucleotide ribosomal RNA is filed under the name uncultured fungus. Its description in RNAcentral is "eukaryotic LSU rRNA". The stretch from base 265 to 419 matches the Rfam family "5.8S ribosomal RNA". The record is from RNAcentral. Lineage: Eukaryota; Fungi.